RNAcentral lists this ribosomal RNA (497 nucleotides) under uncultured bacterium. RNAcentral describes it as "partial 16S ribosomal RNA". It matches the Rfam family "Bacterial small subunit ribosomal RNA", at positions 28 to 507 of the family's 1533-position model. The record is from RNAcentral.
GACGAACGCUGGCGGCGUGCCUAAUACAUGCAAGUUGAGCGCUGAAGGUUGGUACUUGUACCAACUGGAUGAGCAGCGAACGGGUGAGUAACGCGUGGGGAAUCUGCCUUUGAGCGGGGGACAACAUUUGGAAACGAAUGCUAAUACCGCAUAAAAACUUUAAACACAAGUUUUAAGUUUGAAAGAUGCAAUUGCAUCACUCAAAGAUGAUCCCGCGUUGUAUUAGCUAGUUGGUGAGGUAAAGGCUCACCAAGGCGAUGAUACAUAGCCGACCUGAGAGGGUGAUCGGCCACAUUGGGACUGAGACACGGCCCAAACUCCUACGGGAGGCAGCAGUAGGGAAUCUUCGGCAAUGGACGAAAGUCUGACUGAGCAACGCCGCGUGAGUGAAGAAGGGUUUCGGAUCGUAAAACUCUGUUGGUAGAGAAGAACGUUGGUGAGAGUGGAAAGCUCAUCAAGUGACGGUAACUACCCAGAAAGGGACGGCUAACUACGUG